RNAcentral lists this long non-coding RNA (939 nucleotides) under Anas platyrhynchos platyrhynchos (common mallard). RNAcentral describes it as "lncRNA (ENSAPLG00000027561.1)". Lineage: Eukaryota; Metazoa; Chordata; Aves; Anseriformes; Anatidae. The record is from RNAcentral.
CGGGCAGAGCUCUGAGUCUCGCUAUUGCCGAGCAGGAGCCGUAUGAGCAGCGGAUAAUACACUCCAAGCAAAUCUGAGUGCCAGAUCGCUGGGUAAAGCCUAACAAUUACUGAAAGAAUGAACCAAAUUACUGAGUUCAGUUAAUCUCCAUUGUAGCGCCAGCGAUGUGAAGAGCUCUCUGCUUCCUGAGCACCUCGCAAAUCCAACCCAGCUGUGUCUGGCACCAGCAAAGUGCCUACCCACGUGGGGCCUCCGCCUCGGCGAGUCGAUAAAAUGAACGUAAAGCAGCUUCUUCAGAGCCAAAACAGCACUUGUUGACCUAAUUCUACCGAAAAAGGGUAAGAAAGCUCAGUUUGCUUUGGUCGCUGUUUCCGGUGAAGCAAGAGUUUGGAGAGUGCAAGCGGUGUCAGAACCGUGCUGUGCACAGCUGGGAACGAAGGCACCUCUCCAUGCAAAGCCAGCUCUCGGAUCCAAACCGAUGCAAAGGGAAAAGCUCCGUGCAGGGGGAACAUCGGGGCUGUCCUCGGGCAGGCGCAGCAGCAGCAUCAAGCACGGACCCGGACCUCUGGGUGCAGAAUGCGAUGUGCCUCAUUCAGCAGAGCAUUGCCCUACUUUUGUCCCGGAGUAAUUCUGCUGCGUGCCGCCGCAUUACAUCGCUGCAAAGCUCCAGCGGCGUGGAGGAGCAGAGCGGUGUUUCAGCAUGGAGAGAUAAACUCAGGUUCUGCCCACAGGCAUCCCAACAAUAUGGCACGAGAGGCAGCAGCCAUCCUUCCAUCCAUCCAUCCAUCCAUCCAUCCAUCCAUCCAUCCAUCCAUCCAUCCAUCCAUCCAUCCACCCACCCACCCGAGGGUGCUCCCACCGAGGGAGGCAGGCAUGAGGAACACCUCACUGCUGGAGAAUUUGGGUGGUGGGGCCACGUGCGCGCUCCCACACUGAGUC